This 140-nucleotide ribosomal RNA is filed under the name Scrippsiella trochoidea. Its description in RNAcentral is "partial Bacterial small subunit ribosomal RNA". The record is from RNAcentral. Lineage: Eukaryota; Dinophyceae; Peridiniales; Peridiniaceae.
CAUGCGGCGUGAGAUGUCGGGUAUGGGCGACACUCCGCACGAUCCGAUGCAAGACAGAGAGGCCACCUUCUCCGAUGGACACCAGGUUUUGACUUCAGAUGAGUUCCCGGUGGACGGAGGGGACGAUGGCAGGUCCUCAG